Long non-coding RNA from Alnus glutinosa, 659 nucleotides. RefSeq lists it as uncharacterized. The record is from RefSeq and is a predicted model, not a curated record. The transcript is spliced from 4 exons. NCBI's taxonomy places the organism in Eukaryota, Viridiplantae, Streptophyta, Magnoliopsida, Fagales, Betulaceae.
CCCCCAACCGUGAGCCCAUCUCCCUUCUCCCCUCUCAACUCUCAUAUCUUCUUCUCACCAACUUGGUUUAGCAAGGGUUUAUGGAUUGAAAAUCGUGUAAAAGGCAAGGAGCAAGUGUUUCCAGGGGCUGAAAACCAUAGCUUGAGCUUGGAUCAUGGUUUUGCUUCCAAGUGAAAGUUCUAUCAUCUACAAGCCUAGAGUAGUGAUUAUCAACAUCAAAGGGUUCAAUAUACCGAUUAUUCCAAGGAUCGUGUCCAGAUUGGAGACUUUAAUUGGUUUUCCAAUAUAGAGUUCGAGUAACUAGAAUCCAAGGGAAUAUUCGAGUUAAGAGUCCAAUGCAACCAAGAUGAUUGUGCAGGGAUGGAUGAAGAAGGUCAGGAAAAUUAGGAUCAUUAUGCCGAUCCUGAUAAAUGUGGAUGAGGCUAUCUAUUGCCUUCUUUUGCGAAAUAGACUACCUUGUUUAGUAUAUCCUUCUUUAUAAGCUGAACUUAACUUCUAUACAUUACUUUAAUAUGUAAUAUUUUUACCUGAGGUUUGUAAUCUAUUAACACUAGUAACAUAGUAUGAGUGUCGUUUGUGGCACAUAUGUUACUGCUUUAGUGCGUAUUUAUUAUGUAAGAACAUCCUGAUCAUAUUUAGUUAUAUUGGGGUAUUUUAGA